UAUAGAGACCAAAGGAAGGGUUGUGACCCUUUAUUUUUUUCAUUCCACUUAAAAGACACAACUUUAAACCAAAUCACACUUUUAUAAAAAAAAUUAUAGACUUAAUUACUCACCUUUCUAAUAAUAUAUCUCAUACUAAGGGAAUCAUUUCAAAAAAUUACACUUUUAGUUUAAUAGUAGGGCAUUAUUUAAAUGCCCUUUAUGGGUAUUUGAAUGCCAUAUAUGCCAAAUGGUAGUAUUCAUAUGCUUUUCAUAGGUAUUUAGCGAUGCUCUUAUCAUGUUAUUGCUGAAAAGAAAAACCGAAUUCCUCUAUUUCAUUCGAUUCAUCCACACUUCCAUUCCUUGUAGAGGAA
RNAcentral lists this long non-coding RNA (353 nucleotides) under Durio zibethinus. RNAcentral's name for it is "long non-coding RNA (DZIB_LNC000165)". The record is from RNAcentral. Lineage: Eukaryota; Viridiplantae; Streptophyta; Magnoliopsida; Malvales; Malvaceae.